AUUGAACGCUGGCGGCAGGCCUAACACAUGCAAGUCGAACGAACGGCGGACGGGUGAGUAAUGUCUUGGGAACUGCCCGAUAGAAGGGGAUAACUACUGGAACAGGUGUCUACUACCGCAUACUAUCGGAUGUACCCAGAUGGGAUUAGCUAGUAGGUGGGAGAAAGGCUCACCUAGGCUAAGAUCACUAGCUGGUCUGAGAGGAUGAUCAGACAAACGGGGAAUUAGACACGGCCCAGACUCCUACGUGAGGUAGCAGUGGGGAAUAUUGCACAAUGGGCGCAAGCCUGAUGCAGCCAUGCCGCGUGUAUGAAGAAGGCCUUAGGGGUGUAAAGUACUUUCAGCGGGGAGGCGUUACCCGCAGAAGAAGCACCGGCUAACUCCGUGCCAGCAGCCGCGGUAAUAC
Molecule: ribosomal RNA, 406 nt
Filed under: uncultured bacterium
Lineage: Bacteria
Description: partial 16S ribosomal RNA
Rfam family: Bacterial small subunit ribosomal RNA
Source: RNAcentral